AUCUAAUUUUUAUUAUCUGAUAUUAAAUCUAAAAUUAAAUCUAAAAUCAUGAGGAAUAGAAAAAUACCUCAAGGAUAACUAGAUUAUCCUGUAGAUGAUCGUAGCAAUGCCCGAGGUUCUAAAAUAGCCAUGCAGUCAUAUGGCCUCUACCAGUAUCCACUCAAGUAGGAUCUGGAUCAUCUUCUCCUCACAAAUCUUUACUCAAAAAAUUAGAUCUGGAUCUGAUCCGAAAGAUCUUCAAAAGAUCUUUUGAAGCUGGAGCAGCAGCUUCUCGACAAAUUUCUGCAGUCUUCUAAUCAAAGAGCCACCACACCUUAGACAAGCACC
Molecule: long non-coding RNA, 327 nt
Filed under: Elaeis guineensis (African oil palm)
Lineage: Eukaryota; Viridiplantae; Streptophyta; Magnoliopsida; Arecales; Arecaceae
Description: long non-coding RNA (EGUI_LNC072658)
Source: RNAcentral